GACGAACGCUGGCGGCGUGCCUAAUACAUGCAAGUCGAGCGCAUAGAAGGGAGCUUGCUCCCUGAAGUGAGCGGCGGAUGGGUGAGUAACACGUGGGUAACCUGCCUGUCAGAUCGGGAUAACUGUGGGAAACCGUAGCUAAUACCGGAUAAUCCUUCGCACCGCAUGGUGCGGAGUUGAAAGAUGGUUUCGGCCAUCACUGACAGAUGGGCCCGCGGUGCAUUAGUUAGUUGGCGGGGUAACGGCCCACCAAGACUGCGAUGCAUAGCCGACCUGAGAGGGUGAUCGGCCACAUUGGGACUGAGACACGGCCCAAACUCCUACGGGAGGCAGCAGUAGGGAAUCUUCCACAAUGGACGAAAGUCUGAUGGAGCAACGCCGCGUGAGCGAAGAAGGUUUUCGGAUCGUAAAGCUCUGUUGCUGGAGAAGAACGAGUGCGAGAGGAAAUGCUCGUACUGUGACGGUAUCCAGCCAGAAAGCCACGGCUAACUAC
This 493-nucleotide ribosomal RNA is filed under the name uncultured bacterium. RNAcentral describes it as "bacterial SSU rRNA". It matches the Rfam family "Bacterial small subunit ribosomal RNA", at positions 28 to 504 of the family's 1533-position model. The record is from RNAcentral.